Long non-coding RNA from Magallana angulata, 240 nucleotides. RefSeq lists it as uncharacterized. The record is from RefSeq and is a predicted model, not a curated record. NCBI's taxonomy places the organism in Eukaryota, Metazoa, Mollusca, Bivalvia, Ostreida, Ostreidae. The transcript has 3 exons.
UGUCAAGACAGGAAUAUGAAUGCUCGUCUAAAUAUGAAUAUCCCUUUUAAAUUGAUCUGCAUUGUUGUUUUAGUCCAGAGCGAGUGUUCGCCAGUUUCAAGCAAGAAUACGUCAGGUGAUGCUGAUUGCAGCCAUCCAAGUAAAAAGGAUUUCGGUCUUAUAAUGAAUGGUACUGUUAGAGGGUCUUUAAAGACUUUACCAAAAAUUAUAGCUGGGUUUCUUUCGAUCAACAACUCAGGU